This 687-nucleotide long non-coding RNA is filed under the name Mytilus galloprovincialis (Mediterranean mussel). The record is from RNAcentral. Lineage: Eukaryota; Metazoa; Mollusca; Bivalvia; Mytilida; Mytilidae.
AAUAUAUCAAUAACACAUCGUCAACAAAAUAUGAUUCAUAACCAUUUUUAAGCGUAAAUCAUUAAGCAAAUAUAUUCAGUCCACUUUAGUCUUAGCUAUUUCAGAAAUUUGAAAGAGUUGUCUUUCUUCUUUUCUUAACAAGUAUGAGUCAUUUCCCUUUUUGAGAAGCAUCUUCAAUAAAUUUGUCUAGCAACAUAAAUAUUUCCUAAGCAAAGAUAAUGAAAAUACUACUGUUGAAUUCUAUAAAACAACUCAACAUCCCCAGUGUCAAUGAAGCUGUUGUUGAUAUGAAAAUAUAGAAAAUGAAAUAAAAGGGGAAAUAACUCUUACAAGACAAGAAAUAAAGACUAUAUCACAAAAGUUGUAAUAAAUUUGUUGCAAACAAGUCUUUAAUAGAUGAUUUUGUUUUGAUUGUAACUUAAUUCAAAUGAGAUCAUACAUAUUGCACAUCUAUAAACUGUGAAAGCAUUACUGUUUACAGGGUACCAGUUUUCAUGGACUUUCUGGUUCCCUCAAUCAAAGAAAUUUAGAAUCUACAUAUCAAUAGGAAAAACAUUUUCCUUUGUGUUUAAUUUGUUAAUCAAAUCAAAACCCCAGGAAUCCACAAUGUUUUCACAGACCACAAACAAAUGAAACCCAUUUCUCUUACAAAGUAUUUUAUAAAACGUUCAUUAAUGAAAAGGAAAA